UACGUAGGGUGCAAGCGUUGUCCGGAAUUAUUGGGCGUAAAGAGCUCGUAGGCGGUUUGUCGCGUCUGCUGUGAAAACUCGGGGCUUAACUCCGGGCCUGCAGUGGGUACGGGCAGACUAGAGUGCGGUAGGGGAGACUGGAAUUCCUGGUGUAGCGGUGAAAUGCGCAGAUAUCAGGAGGAACACCGGUGGCGAAGGCGGCCUUCUGGACGAUGACUGACGCUGAGACGCGAAAGCGUGGGGAGCAAACAGG
This 253-nucleotide ribosomal RNA is filed under the name uncultured bacterium. Its description in RNAcentral is "partial 16S ribosomal RNA". It matches the Rfam family "Bacterial small subunit ribosomal RNA", at positions 524 to 776 of the family's 1533-position model. The record is from RNAcentral.